GUGCGGGACCCAAAACGGACCAGUCCGGCACGUCCCUUCACUGCGUCAUGACAUCACAUCCGCCGUCAGAAAUCCAAUCCUCAACGCAGAGGGACUGGGAGUCGGGAGCUGCAGAGUGCGUGCGCCUUUUCUGUUACUGAGCAUGCGCAGUAGAAAUUGCGGCGGUCGCCGCCUCAGAUCGAAACAGGGAACAAGAUUAAACCCCUAGAUCACUUGCAGACUUCAACUGCUGAUUGAAUUGUUCUGACCAGAAGUGGUCUCCUAUUGGGGACCAUAUGGAGUGGAGAGAGGAAAGAAAUAGGCUACCAAAAACAACUCAGAUGUGUUUUGUAUGGUGCCCACCAAUCUUAGCAAAUAGGUCACUUGUAUAGCAUUUCCUGGGAGGAGCAUCCACAUGGGUAAGGACAUGAAACCCCAAGCUGAAAUAAUAACUGAAAAUGUCAAGGCUUUAUUUUGCAAUAGAUAUCUUACAAAGAAAAGAUUUACUUUUAUUGAUAUUCAUGGACGUGCAAUGCAUCAGAGUUUUUCUGUGGUGUCUCCUUCUCAUUUAGUCAUUUGUUCCUGUGCUUCAACUCAGAGGUAAAGAUGCUAGCUGGAAAUGUAUGUAUAUUUAACACAGAGACAGAUACUAAAAUCAUCACAUUCAAGACCCAAAAAUGGCUUCCAAAUUUGUGGGUGCAGUUUUGCACUCACUAUUAAUUACUCCCAUAAAGUGGAGGUCAGGUUGAGGUGACUUUAAAAAUUUGGUUCAUAAUAUUAACUAAUUCUAUUCAUCCUCACUUCUAGACGCUGCAGACUUGACAUCACCUAGGAGCAUCAUCUAAGGUAUUGUCUUGGGCACUUCCUGAAGGAGAGUUUUCUGCUUCAGAGGCAGGGCUAUCAAGGAGAGGGAUAGAGUCAUCCAUUUCCAUGCUAUGCUGCUUCUCCAGUUCGUAAGUUAGGCCAGAGUUCCCUUUGUCACUGACCUCUCCCUCCAAUUCGUCUGCCAGUUUGUCCUGGGCCUGAGCUGCCUCCUCAGAAUCUUCCUUUUGGUGCAGAAAACUACAAAUCAUAUUAGGUCUGCUGUAUGAGAAAUCUUUGUCUUUAAUCUGUAACCACUCCACACCACCUGGUCAGAAAAAAGAUAAACUAGUGAAACGGGGAGGAGAGAUUUUAACAGCAAGACAAUAUAUUUUCUUAGUUUCACGAGUUCAUUGUUUUAGCCUCAAACAAUAACUAGAAAUAUGCAACAAAGGUAAUGUUAUGUUUGAGAAAAAACAACAUUAUGUAUGAGGUGGUGUGUGCCAUAAGCUUCUGCUACAAAAAGACUUGAGGGAAAGAAAGGAAACUGCCUGUGACCCAUUUUCCAAACUGGAGACAGUAAAAUUCCUCCCAAAUGUCCUUACUUCCUUCUGCUGCAUAAGACGGACCUAUUUUCACUAUGAUCCUCACAUGCUGAAGUGAGGAGAAAAAUUCUUAGUUAAGACAAAUAGCAGCUUAAGUUUCACUGUUUUGAAGCAAUACAGCAUAAAACUCUGAGGGGUAGAAGGUUUGUUUGCUUGCUUAUACUGGUUUAUAUCUCCAAUAUAACAUUUUUUGUCUAAGAACUGAGCGAGGGUCUUCAGAAUCCCCAUCAUAUAGAUGAUUUCUAAUCAGCCAUUUUCAUUUGCUUUGCACUUGAGAGCUACAUAUCAGAACUAUUGUUCUUCUAGCUGAGCAGUGCCCCCAACAAGCUCUUAGCUCUACUGCUUCUUCAAAUCAGCCAGUGUUUCCUAUUAGGAGACUCAACACCUGUCCACAUCCAACACACAAGCUACUGCUGCUGACUCCUGAGUAUUUUCAACCUAGGAAGGUACGAAGAAUCGAGAUAUGGUCUCCCAUGUGCUGUGUAAAACAUAACUAUUACACCACCAGCUAAACCCAUUACAUUUCUAAAAUUUGGCAAUAUAUGAAUUUUUAUGGUACUUAUUGCUGUCACAAACGGGGCCACUCAAUUACAGUACACUCCAAGAAAUUAAAACCAAAAAUACAUCAAAACAAAGAGGGCUGCUUAAUGGGUAUGGUAUUUCCCCCUUAAUGGGGAUGCCUUCUGUUGAUUUACUGGCAUUUGAGUUUUGCGUGCGUGUCUCAUGCUGGUUCUGUUUGUUCAUCUAAUAGCUUUUCAUUCUUCCACAGCAGUGAUACAUAAAAAUAAAUGGUACAAAGUUGUAAAGGUCAACAUUUCCUUGCCUAAUCCAAAAGAAUGACUGGGAUGGGAAUGACAUCUUUCAAGAAUGUAGAUCUUUAUCUUUGGGCUGAGUCCCACCAUACAUUCAGGAGUUGAGGCCACUAGUUUUUGUGGUUGUUGAGGUUUCCCUGAAAGCUAGGGCUGUGUCUUGGUUAACUAAGUCUAAGUGUGUCUGGGAUAACUAAAAACUAUUAUUUAACAGGAUAAUCCUUUUCCAAUUCCUAUUUAUCUUAGAAUCAGUGCAUUUAUAUGAUGACAGAAAAUUCCACUUGCAUUAUAAAUACUGGGAGGGGGAAAUCCUUUUCAUUCAAAGGUUGGUUUCUCAAUUAUUUAUAAUACCAGUGAAAUAGUGGAUCACACAGACAUUAGUUUACCAUUCUUCUGUAUUUAUUUUGUACUGUGCACCUAUGCAAGUUCCAAAACAGUUACCAUAUGAUUCAAGAUGCUAAGAAUAUAUUUUACUGAUGCAAAAUGGAAACUAUCGUGUUAAUUUAAGUUUAGACUAUCAAAUAACUUGAUGGAACAUGGCACCUGAAAACAUCUAAGAAUGACUACGAAUGAAAAGUGGUACCGCAGGUCUGUAGACCAGUUUAUUAAAAAUACAGAUUACUAAUGGAACUGGUAUUUCUUCCUUCAUGUAAGUAUGCUCUUCAGAAGUCACACAUGCUCAAUAUACAGUAAUCAAAAUGUGUCAAGUGCUGAAUGUAUGAGUAUUGAGUGUUUGUCAUGUGCAAGCAUUGAAUUGCUUGUGAGGAAGCUUGAGAGUUCAAUUAGAACAUUUCCUACAGUGGCGUUGUUUUAAUUAAGCAACCCACCUGCCACUAUAUUACACUAACUUUUAAAAUGAAUGAUUUCUUAAUAAAUCAAUAGGUAGUAUUAGGUGGGGAAAGGAAAUGUUACAUCUUAUGGGUAAAAGUCAUCCCAUCUGUGAUCAGAUCUUCACAUCUAGAUCGCUCACAAGAUGACUUUUUAAUACCAUAAAAUGUAAUCUUCCAGCAGAAUAUGUAUAAAUUUAGCAUAAAAUGGCUCUUUAUUCCUAACCCUGUGUAUGAGCAAAAUAGCAGGAACAAUUGGGAAUAAGACAUUGCUAGGAGCAGUAUUACUGUAAAUAUCUAAAUACAGAAACAGCAUUGACUUCCGGCCUAGAGAUGAAAGGCAAAAUUUAACCCUGGUGUGAAAUGGUACAACGACAUUGAAGCAAGUGCACCAGAACUUAAUUUGCCUACAGAAUGCAUAUAAAAAUGGAAAGUAGUUUGGCCAAAAUCACAGGAAGCUUUACAAAUAGCUAUCAUUUUUUAGUUCAGUUAAUUUGUUUAUAUAUGAUGUUGUUGUUUAAGAACGGAAAGCUUGUAUCCUUUAGUUCCCUGGAUACUUAUUGGCACUAAAUGGUCAAACUAAUUUUUGUCUCCAGCUUGGUAUCAAAGAUAAGGUUUAGUCCUAGGACGACCUCACAUGUUCCCACAUACAAGACCAGGUGCACUAACCUACACUCUCUUCUCCUUCCUUCUUUUCAGUCAGAAGCGUCCGUGUCAUGUUCAGCUUCUUCAUUGUGUGGCAUUUGUAUUUCAGCUGUAGCUUUUGGUUUCCUUCUGCGUCCACUAUAAAUAAAAAUUAAUUGAUUCAUUUUAGUGAACAUCCACAUCAUCUGAAACAUGAAAAUUAUCUGAACCUUACAGCGUCAGCUCAGAUACAAGCCAGAACAUAAAAGAUGUAUCACUUACCUUGUUCUGCAUUUUCUUCAAACACCACACAGGUUCCAAGGGUAUCUAUGGAGAACAAAGGACAGUUAGCUGAGAAAUAACAGAGGUUAUUUGCCAAAGGCCCAGUACUUCAAAAACCUGAGUGCUCUCCACUUCCACUGAAGUCAUGGAAAUUGAGGAUGAUCAGUAUCUCUCAUGAUUGGGCCCUGUAUGUCACACUGAAAAUGAGCAGUUUCAUCCAUAUAAUCUUUUCCUACCUUCAUACUCCCCAGCAAAGACAUAUCUGUCCACUUGCAAAAUGGGCCUCUCUGUGUCUAUUCCCUACAAACAAGGAUAGACAGAAAUUACAUGGAAGUCAUGCUUCAGCUAGUCAAGGCAAGGCACCAAGACUAGAGAAAACAACUGGUAAACUGAUUUGCCAAGUACAGUAAAACCAGCAUUAUAUACAGAUUCUCUGACAUGGUAUAUGCAGUACAAGACAAAAAAGCAAUAUGGAAUGCAAGCUAGUGAUAGUAAAUCAAGUCUAUUCUAUCACACUGAGAUUAGUAUGGGGAGAAAAACGAACAUACACAAAGGAAACUUUCUUUUCAGUUUAUAGACUCAAAAGCUUCCUAAACUGUGAGAUUUAGAUGAAACAGAUAUACAGUAUAUCUCGGAAAAUUAGGUAAGCAAAUGAGAAAGGUGUGCAGGAGACAAAAAGGUUGCAUGAGUACACAAACACCUAAACAACACGCAGGCACAUCAGCAGUCCAAUGGCAGAGGUAGGAAGCUAUUAUUUAUAUGCAACAAGCAGCUCUCUGAAAAUAAAGGGACACCGUCAACUUAACAUCAAGCAAAUUUCUAAAAGUGAGUUAAAAAUGGUUUCCAGGACUAGUCCUGCUUCUGUUUCCUUCUACAAGUUUCUGUGGUUUUACAAUCACUUUCCCCUAUUUUUAGAGUUUUUUUUUUCUCCCAUUUCUGUGAGUGUGUCUCACAAUCAACAAGGAAGUGACUAUACAAAAGAAAUAGUGAACCUGACUACACACAAAAUGCUGUGAAACAAAGUAAACAAACAGAAAUAUUUUGGGGGUAAUAACUUCUUUCAAUCAUAGUAACUUUAAUUGUUAUAUUAAUUAUACUCGGUACAUGAUUUUAAGACAAACACUAUUUUCCAGUUGAUGGUGUCCCACAGAGUUGACUGAAUCCUUUUAAAAAGUCUUUGACCUGGAAAAGGCUACAGCAUGUUGAGGGAAGAGGCAGUUGCGAGAAGUCCAAAGGAGCAUAAACUAACCUGUAUCCAAUCUCCUAUUUAACAACAGCUUUUCAAAAGUACUUUAUGUAAUUGCCUCAGGGAAAACAGUAUUUUAACUUAGAGUUUUACAUUACUAAAUUUACUUGCAUGGAAAAUAAAUGAUUCCCUAAGGGACAAAACCUUUUCAGGGCUGCAUACUGGGGGAUUUCUGUGUGGACAAGAGGGUGGAAGAAAUCCUUACUCUGACUGCAGUUCAGUACAAAAUCUAUUUCAUUGCCAUUAAUGCAACUUCAGGUUUACAAUAGCUUCUGUGGCUCCUGUGCAUUCAUUUUGGGAGUGUGUUUUUUGGGUUGGGGUGGCAUGGUUUGGAGGCUGGGUGGGCAGAGACGGCCAGAGGAUUUACUGAGUAUAUGCCUUCCCAAAGCACAGUUGCAUGCAGGGAUGCUGGAAGUCCCCUCUGAACAUAGCCUUGCAGCAUAGAGGUUGGGACCCUUGCAUGAGGUUCCAAAAUCCUGCUCUCCCUUUUGCAACAGAACCUUUUAAGUUGUGCUGGCUCUGAGCCCUUCCAACUACACAGGGCAUAGGGACAAGAUUUAUAAUCUAACAGGUUAUUGGUUCUUCCUGCUUAUUCUUCAUACAGAAUCACAAUCCUCAGUUUGUAGUAUCAGUCCUCUCCACACAACCCAAUUAUGAUGUCACAAAUUAAGGAAGACAUCAGACGGAGAAUCAGCCCCAAGAUCAGAAGAACUCUUAAUGGUGACACCCCCAGACAUCAGCAUUGCUCGCCUGUUCGAUGGCCCAUCAGGGUCAUCAGCUAUACAAAGAACCCACUGAAAGGAGCCAGGGGCUACACCUUCUGAGUCAGCAGGACGAGUAGGGGCAUGCCUAUAGAUAGAGAACUUUAAGGCUUUUCCAUGCCUUGUGUUGUGAAGCUUGAGUUUGGGACACAGGAAGUACAAGCCAGAUGGCAAAAGGAAUAUAAAGGGCAGCUGCAUCAUCUCCAUGUUGUAUUCAUUUCUGCUUCUUACUUCUGGAGUAACUUUUCUACAAACGAAGCUCUGA
This is a long non-coding RNA of Chelonia mydas (Green sea turtle), 6199 nucleotides long. RefSeq lists it as uncharacterized. The transcript has 3 exons. The record is from RefSeq and is a predicted model, not a curated record. NCBI's taxonomy places the organism in Eukaryota, Metazoa, Chordata, Testudines, Cheloniidae.